Molecule: long non-coding RNA, 1601 nt
Organism: Girardinichthys multiradiatus
Lineage: Eukaryota; Metazoa; Chordata; Actinopteri; Cyprinodontiformes; Goodeidae
Exons: 2
Source: RefSeq, a predicted model, not a curated record
GUUAUGUCUCUUUGAGGUCUCUUUGGAUUUUUGUCCUUACAUUGGAUCCUGUUUUAAAAUACCCCGUAAACUGGAUGAUCUUGUCACCCUGCACCUCGCCUUCAUAGUGAAGGACAUCAAAUUGAUUGGAAACAUCUGUUUUGGUCUGUCCCAAGUUGAUGGUGGCAGUUGCUUCUCUAAGGCCAUUGCUGAUGGCUUACCGCCCUGACAUUCCUUGACUGCUACAACUCUGAUGGCAGCUGUUGAUAUUUUUUUCAAAAACAUUAAUAAUCUUUUUAUUCUUAUUUUUUUUAUUUAAAGUUUAAGAAAGUUCAUCUUUGUAUGGUUUCCUUAAAUGUUGUAUUUGGUAUCAUUGCAUUGAAUUAUUGCAUUUAUUAUUGCAUUCUUGUUUUUACCACUAUUCUAAAUGUCGUUAUAAAUUAAAUGCACUGUUUUAUCAGUUUGUAUUUGUGUUAUGGUUGAAGUAAAUUCCUCGUGCAGUAUUUUAUAAUUCUAGAAUCUUAUGGGGUUUUUUCUUGGUUUUUGUCCUUUUCUAGUUGUCCAAUAAUUGUUUUAUUUACUUUGUAUAGCCUUGGGGGUGUAAUUCGUAUUUGCAUGCUCUAUCUUUGGUUUUAUGGUUAUGUAUAGCACUUUGUGUUAGAUUUGAUUGUAUGAAAAGCGCUCGAACAUUAAAUAAUUUUACAACAUAGUAAAGACCAGCUCCUUGCUGUGUUGUCCAGAUAUACAAAAUCCUCAAAUUCAAAUAGGGAUACUGUUUUUCGUUUAGAAGUAAAAGUUAAUUAUUUUAAUUUUAAAUGCUGUGAAAAAGUAUUUCCACCUCAUAGAUUUCCUGUUCAUCAAACAAAUAUCAUUAACCCCCUUUGUCAUAUUGUUCAGAAAUAUGGGAAAACGCAAAUAAAACAAAUAUUGAUAUAUUGGUUAGGCUACAAAAAAGAGCUGUUAGGCUCAUUUAUAAACUGGGAUAUCAGCUAAUAGACUUUUCAUUCAGAUUACUACUUCUAAAUGUAUUGAUAUUGUAUCUAUGAAAAUCCUGGAAAUAAUGUCUACAGCAUUGAACAAAAGUCUUCCUCCUGGAAUUCAGAAAUAAUUUAAGUUAAGAGGGAGUGAAUAUAAUUUAAAAGGUCUGUUAAUUUUUUUAAUGCGAAAGAGAGAAACCGAGUUAAAUCUAGAUGUGUUUCAGUCUGAAACACAUUAUUAUUAAUUAUUUAAAUGAUUUUAAAUUAUGUGCUUCUUUGGUGAGCUUUAAAAGAGCUUUAAAAUGCAAAAUUAUACUAUAGUUUAUACUGCUAUGUAGACAUAUAAAUUUAUAGUGUAAUCCUGUAUUUUUGUGUAUUUAGUGUGUGUAAGUGUAUGUAUGUGUGGGUAUACUUGCAUAAUCGAUAUGUAUAAUGUAUAUGUGUGUGUAUGUAGUUUUCUUUUUCAUAUACUGUUGAGUCUUUAGGUUUAUGAAUGGAGAAGGCUGAACAAAUAUAAGCCAUGGCUUUCACUUAUUCCUUUUUGGUAAAUUAUCAGUUUAUAGAAUGUAUAAUUCUGUUUUGUUUUGUUUUCCUUUUCUGUAAUGUUGUAAAUUUACCACAAAAAAUAAAUAAAUAAAGAAAGAA